CGCCUACCAACCCACAAACGCAAAAAAGGAGGGUGUGUAUUGUGGGAGAACAUAAGAGUUACCUAUUUCUUCAACUGCUCAACUUAUUAUAUAUUUCAGGUUUGAGAGAAAGAAAAUAGUACACCAUGUCAGAUGAUGAUAACCCUAAAGCAAAGCCCAGGAAAGGGCCUCUCUUUUAUGGAAGCAUAUUUGCUUUCAUUGGUGGUGUUCUGCUGCUGAUGUCAUUUUGCAGUCCGUACUGGCUGCAGUCAUAUGAAAUCGCCUACUUGGACUUCAAGAACAUGGGUCUGUGGGAAGUCUGCUUUGUCAACUUCCGGUACCCCAACAACCAGUUUGACCACAAGUUCACUGGUUGUCACUGGGUGUUCAGCAACGAGUACCGCAUCAUCAGAGAGUGGAUUCUGCCUGCGUGGCUGCAGGCGGUGCAGGCGUUCGUCACGCUGGCCUUCGUGGCCAGCUUCGGCGGCCAGGUGGUGGUGGCCAUGAUGCUGAUGAAGCUGCCGCUCUUCCUGUGGCGCCGCUUCCAGCUGGAGAUGACCGUCACAGCGCUCACCAUGAAGCUCGUUACCGUGGCGACGCUGUUUCUGGCGCUGGCCAUUUUCGGCGGCAAGUGCUGGGACCGCGACUGGCUCAUGUACCCCAACUACAACUUCCUCUCGUGGUCGUACUACAUGGCCGCCUUCUCUUGCAUGUUCCACGCGUUCGCCGCCAUCCUCUAUGGCAUGGAGAUGAAUGCCAUCCGGCGCCGCCAGUUGGAACAGAGCAACAUUCUGAUGCACAUGCAGCCGGCCGAGUCGCACCACGGUUCGGCGUACAUCUGAGCCGGUCCCGGGCCCCGGGCCGCCGGCGAGGGCCAUGUAUGCAGACCGCACCCGCCGGCCGACCAGCCGCUCACCCGCCCCGCCCGCCUCUGUCUCACCUGUACCAGGUGAAGCAGCUGAUGCCUACCGACUACCACCUGGACCGGCUCAGCCGCCACGGUCUCUACGAGUACGGCAACGAGUACGGCAGCGAGCCCGGCUACCAGUACGGCGGCUACCCACCCUCGGUGCCCUCCGUCGCCCCGUCCGUGGUCGCCCCCUCGCCGGCGCCCUACCAGCGCGUCGAGAACGAUAACGAGGUGUUCGUUCACGACCCGAGCAACGGCGCCCGCUACUGAGGCGGCGCGGUUCGGUCGGCCGUCGGUAGAUGGUGUGCGCGUCGGCGGCCGCCGAUGCGCGCCCAUAGUUGGUGCGUUCAUGUGCUAUAACACAUUCCGUCCGCUCGAUUGUGACUAUCGACUUGUUAGCGUGGAUCUGAGCAGAUCUAAGCUGGUUGAAGCAAUUUGUACCCGGUAUUUGUAAGUUUUUUUUUUUUUUUGCUGAGACGUGGCAGUCCCCGACGUUCACGCGAGCACACACGCUUCGGCAUUUGCACAUCACACUCAGCUUUUUGCGGAGGCUUUCAGUUAUUGGCGUCAUUCCAUCGAAAGGCUGUCUGUGUCGCUUUGUUUCGCAUUAUGUAUCGCUAGCAUAGGAUAGUUAGUUUAUACUAGUUUAUAAGCAUGGUACCUUCACAGAUCUUCCAACCUUGAAUAUUUUUUACGAACAAAUUGCAAGCUAAGCCACAGUUGGGUUGGUAGAGUCGUGGGCGUCUUCGCUCUUCGAAGACUUUCUUCUGAGAUGUGUCUGUGAAAGGUUCACCCCUGUAAAUGUGUACCAUACAAGCAUUGUGAUUAAAAUGUACUACCGGCAGCUAUUUUUAGCACAUCGCUUGUUUGUAUCGCUGUACGUAGGUCUGUCGUGCGAGGAGUGAGGACGCGCCGUUUCGUCGCCUCUCUAGUACGGACAGAGUGUAUGUGCCUUCACGCUGGCACACUGCCGCUCUCGGUCGCUCGCUCCCGGUCCGGUGCGGACCCCGGUACCCAUGAGCCUGGCCCAUGCGAUACGUGAGCUCGACUGUCCAGAACGGCGUUUGUCUGUCCCGCGAAAUAAACACGCACAUAAAACCA
This is an RNA transcript of Amphibalanus amphitrite, 1990 nucleotides long. RefSeq lists it as uncharacterized. The record is from RefSeq and is a predicted model, not a curated record. The transcript has 8 exons. Lineage: Eukaryota; Metazoa; Arthropoda; Thecostraca; Balanomorpha; Balanidae.